AGCAUCCUAACAUGCCUACCAGUCUCCUCUUGUGUUAAA
Molecule: small RNA, 39 nt
Filed under: Arabidopsis thaliana (thale cress)
Lineage: Eukaryota; Viridiplantae; Streptophyta; Magnoliopsida; Brassicales; Brassicaceae
Description: ATSL124150
Source: RNAcentral